UUAUCAAACCUGGAGGCUGGAGUCCAUAAAUCAGAUAUUGCAUGGGCAGCAAUAGUGCAAGCUUUUCCACCAGUGGGUACUAAUGUGCUGCAACCCUGCUCUGGAAGGACCACCUAUGGGGCUGAAAGGGUAGCUGAGUCUCUGUGGCCUCUUUGCUGAUACUACU
This 166-nucleotide small RNA is filed under the name Chrysemys picta bellii (western painted turtle). RNAcentral describes it as "TUC338 (ENSCPBG00000022535.1)". Lineage: Eukaryota; Metazoa; Chordata; Testudines; Emydidae. The record is from RNAcentral.